Molecule: ribosomal RNA, 468 nt
Filed under: uncultured bacterium
Lineage: Bacteria
Description: partial 16S ribosomal RNA
Rfam family: Bacterial small subunit ribosomal RNA
Source: RNAcentral
GACGAACGCUGGCGGCGUGCUUAACACAUGCAAGUCGAACGGAAAGGCCCUGCUUUUGUGGGGUGCUCGAGUGGCGAACGGGUGAGUAACACGUGAGUAACCUGCCCUUGACUUUGGGAUAACUUCAGGAAACUGGGGCUCAUAUCGGAUAGGAACUCCUGCUGCAUGGUGGGGGUUGGAAAGUUUCGGCGGUUGGGGAUGGACGCGCGGCUUAUCAGCUUGUUGGUGGGGUAGUGGCUUACCAAGGCUUUGACGGGUAGCCGGCCUGAGAGGGUGACCGGCCACAUUGGGACUGAGGUGCGGCCAAGACUGCUACGGGAGGCAGCGGUGGGGAAUAUUGCACGAUGGGCGGAAGCAGGAUGCAGCAACGCCGCGUGCGGGAUGACGGCCUUCGGGUUGGAACCCGCGUGCGCCUGUGACGAAGCGUGAGUGACGGUAAUGGGUAAAGAAGCACCGGCUAACUACGUG